Molossus molossus (Pallas's mastiff bat) is the source of this 130-nucleotide small nucleolar RNA. RefSeq annotates it as small nucleolar RNA SNORA65. The transcript has a single exon. Lineage: Eukaryota; Metazoa; Chordata; Mammalia; Chiroptera; Molossidae. The record is from RefSeq and is a predicted model, not a curated record.
GCCACCACUGCACCUGACCUGUUCUCUGUUAGCUGGAACAAUCCAGUGGUGAGCUGAUAAUAAACCCUAGUUUAGGAGACAGCCUUGUUCUUCAUGUGGAUGACUCUGUGCUGAAAGUAUGGAAACAGCC